CAUCUGUGCCAACAGUUUUCUCUUGCUGCUGUUACUUAGCUUGAAUGGAAGGAGAGCGAGGCAGUUCAGCCCUCUGUAAUGAAUGCUUCAGACUUUAAGGAGAAGGGAAGUCAUCUAAUAAUAUGAAUGAAGAAGUACAAUCAUUUCUGACCCAGGGAAGGCACUGCAGGAGAUAUACCCCAAGAAAUGCUCCACGUACACCAAAAUAUUAACAGCAGCACUUUUAAAGGGAAUAUGGCACAGGGAGCACAACGUGCUGAAUCACACACUUGCAUCUGGCUUUGGCAGAAGGAAAACAGCUACUUCACUGACCUCGAUCAACCUCUGAGAGUCUCUCUCCCUACCUCCCAUCCCACUUCAGUCCAGUGUGUAACAUGGAUG
This is a non-coding RNA of Phascolarctos cinereus (koala), 381 nucleotides long. NCBI's taxonomy places the organism in Eukaryota, Metazoa, Chordata, Mammalia, Diprotodontia, Phascolarctidae. The record is from RefSeq and is a predicted model, not a curated record.